CCCUAGUAACGGCGAGUGAAGCGGCAACAGCUCAAAUUUGAAAUCUGGCUUCGGCCCGAGUUGUAAUUUGCAGAGGAUGUUUCUGGCGCGGUGCCUUCCGAGUUCCCUGGAACGGGACGCCACAGAGGGUGAGAGCCCCGUAUGGUUGGACACCAAGCCUGUGUGAAACUCCUUCGACGAGUCGAGUAGUUUGGGAAUGCUGCUCAAAAUGGGAGGUAAAUCUCUUCUAAAGCUAAAUACCGGCCAGAGACCGAUAGCGCACAAGUAGAGUGAUCGAAAGAUGAAAAGCACCUUGAAAAGGGGGUUAAACAGUACGUGAAAUUGUUGAAAGGGAAGCGCUUGUGACCAGACUUGCGCCGGGCGGUUCAUCCGGGGUUCUCCCCGGUGCACUCCGCCCGGCUCAGGCCAGCAUCGGUUUUCGUUGGGGGAUAAGAACGGCAGGAACGUGGCCCUCCUUCGGGUGGGUGUUAUAGCCUGCCGUACGAUACCCUGACGGGGACCGAGGUUCGCGCUCCGCAAGGAUGCUGG
Molecule: ribosomal RNA, 528 nt
Filed under: Cryphonectria parasitica (chestnut blight fungus)
Lineage: Eukaryota; Fungi; Ascomycota; Sordariomycetes; Diaporthales; Cryphonectriaceae
Description: LSU rRNA
Rfam family: Eukaryotic large subunit ribosomal RNA
Source: RNAcentral